Molecule: ribosomal RNA, 255 nt
Filed under: uncultured bacterium
Lineage: Bacteria
Description: partial 16S ribosomal RNA
Rfam family: Bacterial small subunit ribosomal RNA
Source: RNAcentral
UACGUAGGGUGCAAGCGUUGUCCGGAAUUAUUGGGCGUAAAGAGCUCGUAGGCGGUCUGUUGCGUCGGCUGUGAAAACCCGGGGCUCAACUCCGGGCCUGCAGCCGAUACGGGCAGACUAGAGUUCGGCAGGGGAGACUGGAAUUCCUGGUGUAGCGGUGAAAUGCGCAGAUAUCAGGAGGAACACCGGUGGCGAAGGCGGGUCUCUGGGCCGAUACUGACGCUGAGGAGCGAAAAGCGUGGGGGAGCGAACAGG